AUUGAACGCUGGCGGCAGGCCUAACACAUGCAAGUCGAGCGGAUGAAGGGAGCUUGCUCCUGGAUUCAGCGGCGGACGGGUGAGUAAUGCCUAGGAAUCUGCCUGGUAGUGGGGGAUAACGUACGGAAACGGGCGCUAAGACCGCAUACGUCCUGAGGGAGAAAGGGGGGGAUCUUCGGACCUCACGCUAUCAGAUGAGACUAGCUCGGAUUAGCUAGUUGGUGGGGUAAAGGCCUACGAAGGCGACGAUCCGUAACUGGGCUGAGAGGAUGAUCAGUCACACUGGAACUGAGACACGGUCCAGACUCCUACGGGAGGCAGCAGUGGGGAAUAUUGGACAAUGGGCGAAAGCCUGAUCCAGCCAUGCCGCGUGUGUGAAGAAGGUCUUCGGAUUGUAAAGCCCUUUAAGUUGGGAGGAAGGGCAGUAAGUUAAUACCUUGCUGUUUUGACGUUACCAACAGAAUAAGCACCGGCUAACUUCGUG
RNAcentral lists this ribosomal RNA (484 nucleotides) under uncultured bacterium. RNAcentral's name for it is "partial 16S ribosomal RNA". It matches the Rfam family "Bacterial small subunit ribosomal RNA", at positions 30 to 507 of the family's 1533-position model. The record is from RNAcentral.